Molecule: long non-coding RNA, 455 nt
Organism: Pan troglodytes (chimpanzee)
Lineage: Eukaryota; Metazoa; Chordata; Mammalia; Primates; Hominidae
Exons: 4
Source: RefSeq, a predicted model, not a curated record
GGAAGCUGAGGGAGCCGGCUCCGGCCUUGGCCAGCCCAGCAAGGCGCUCCCACAGUGCAACGGCGGGCUGAAGGGCUCCUCAAGUGCCGCCAAAGCGGGAGCCCAGGCAGAGGAGACGCCCAGAGCGAGCGAGGGCUGUGAGGACUGCCAGCACACUGUCACCGCUCAGUAACAUGGUCCCAGAUAAUAAUUAGGAAAACAAAUCAGGACCGAAACUCCAGAGAGUCUGAAAUUGGCUGACCAUGGAACACCUAACCCGAAAAUAUGCAUAUCCCUUUCAGAGGGCAAAAGUUGAAGAGGCACCUGCAGUCAUUUUAUACUGAUGCAUAACAUAUUGCCACAAACUUAGCAAGUUUUAAAACAUCACGUAUUAUCUUAAAGUCACUGUGGAUCAUAAGUACAGGCUCACUUUUACUGUAUCAUUGGCUCAAACUCACAAGGAUGAGAAAAUUAAG